This is a non-coding RNA of Poecilia reticulata (guppy), 617 nucleotides long. The record is from RefSeq and is a predicted model, not a curated record. NCBI's taxonomy places the organism in Eukaryota, Metazoa, Chordata, Actinopteri, Cyprinodontiformes, Poeciliidae.
GUUGGGUACCAGGUUGUGGGGUUASAUUGUUUUCCUUUCCAGCACCACCAACCAUCCUGAAGAGGGCGCCAGUGGGUUGGAUCUUGGCAGGAGGGUGUGCUGACAGGCUCUACAGGACACACCUGAUUGGCAUCAUCAUCUCCCAGGAGGAGUAUAAGAGCAGCGGGCUUCCAGCACUUCUCUGCCAGAGUGUUGCCUUUAGUGGUACAUCAGCCCGCUGAGUAGUUUCCUCAGAAACGUUUUUUCAAGGUGUUCUCCUAGUAGCCUUUUGACCAGUCUCUUGUUACUCUUUUCCAGGACGUCUACCAGGUUCUCCGGGGAAGCCUUCCCCCAAAGCCAACUAGCCUGGGAUUACCCCUUCUUGUGACUCCUCUCUAGUUGGAAGCCCUCCGCUGUUCCUCCGAGCCUCCUCAGAUCCACCUGUCCGCCCUCCAACGCCAUAACCACCGUCKGUCUACYUAHGYCCUCUCCACUACUCCCUCUCUUGGCACCCACUCCCCUCCGCUGGACUUUACCUGCUACCUUUGUCGCCCCAGAGAGUUUCCUGGACCCAACCUUCCUUCCUGUGGCAAUCUAUCUACUGGUACAUAUUGUAAAUAAAUUAUUGCACUUACUUA